This is a long non-coding RNA of Orcinus orca (killer whale), 225 nucleotides long. RefSeq lists it as uncharacterized. The transcript is spliced from 3 exons. The record is from RefSeq and is a predicted model, not a curated record. NCBI's taxonomy places the organism in Eukaryota, Metazoa, Chordata, Mammalia, Artiodactyla, Delphinidae.
AAUCCACUCAUUAUGCUGCUACGGGCCUGAUGACAUAGAUUUCAUUGCUGAGGGAUAUUGCAUUGUACUUAGAAUCAUCAUACCUGAAUCCACUCAUUAUGCUGCUACGGGCCUGAUGACAUAGAUUUCAUUGCUGAGGGAUAUUGCAUUGUACUUAGAAUCAUCAUACCUGAAUCCACUCAUUAUGCUGCUACGGGCCUGAUGACAUAGAUUUCAUUGCUGAGG